Non-coding RNA from Caminicella sporogenes DSM 14501, 351 nucleotides. It matches the Rfam family "transfer-messenger RNA". From Rfam's summary of the family: Bacterial tmRNA, also known as 10Sa RNA or SsrA, is named for its dual tRNA and mRNA-like properties. Its role is to liberate the mRNA from a stalled ribosome. To accomplish this part of the tmRNA is used as a reading frame that ends in a translation stop signal. Lineage: Bacteria; Bacillati; Bacillota; Clostridia; Peptostreptococcales; Caminicellaceae. The record is from Rfam.
GGGGGCGUAUUGGUUUCGACGGGGGUACGAAACCACAAGUAGCGAGCCGUUGUUGCCAAGCAACGUAAAAAGUGGCAUUAAAAAUAAACGCAAACGAAAAUUACGCUUUAGCUGCCUAAUAUCGCAGCUCGUCCAGCCUAAGCGACCCGCAGCUUAGGAUUUGGGCGUCGGUUUAGCGGGGAACCGCUUUAAGGGGUGUCUCGACCUUAAAGUGAAUUAAUUGAGACUGGUCUUCAAGAUAGCCUGUCAUUGGGCGAUUUUGAAGGCGAGACAAAAAAACAAUGACUGCGCUCGGAGAAACUUGUGGGGAAGUACUUUCGGACAGGGGUUCGACUCCCCUCGCCUCCACCA